RNAcentral lists this ribosomal RNA (2772 nucleotides) under Escherichia coli. RNAcentral describes it as "bacterial LSU rRNA". It matches the Rfam family "Bacterial large subunit ribosomal RNA". The record is from RNAcentral. Lineage: Bacteria; Pseudomonadati; Pseudomonadota; Gammaproteobacteria; Enterobacterales; Enterobacteriaceae.
AGCGUACACGGUGGAUGCCAUGGCAGUCAGAGGCGAUGAAGGACGUGCUAAUCUGCGAUAAGCGUCGGUAAGGUGAUAUGAACCGUUAUAACCGGCGAUUUCCGAAUGGGGAAACCCAGUGUGUUUCGACACACUAUCAUUAACUGAAUCCAUAGGUUAAUGAGGCGAACCGGGGGAACUGAAACAUCUAAGUACCCCGAGGAAAAGAAAUCAACCGAGAUUCCCCCAGUAGCGGCGAGCGAACGGGGAGCAGCCCAGAGCCUGAAUCAGUGUGUGUGUUAGUGGAAGCGUCUGGAAAGGCGCGCGAUACAGGGUGACAGCCCCGUACACAAAAAUGCACAUGCUGUGAGCUCGAUGAGUAGGGCGGGACACGUGGUAUCCUGUCUGAAUAUGGGGGGACCAUCCUCCAAGGCUAAAUACUCCUGACUGACCGAUAGUGAACCAGUACCGUGAGGGAAAGGCGAAAAGAACCCCGGCGAGGGGAGUGAAAAAGAACCUGAAACCGUGUACGUACAAGCAGUGGGAGCACGCUUAGGCGUGUGACUGCGUACCUUUUGUAUAAUGGGUCAGCGACUUAUAUUCUGUAGCAAGGUUAACCGAAUAGGGGAGCCGAAGGGAAACCGAGUCUUAACUGGGCGUUAAGUUGCAGGGUAUAGACCCGAAACCCGGUGAUCUAGCCAUGGGCAGGUUGAAGGUUGGGUAACACUAACUGGAGGACCGAACCGACUAAUGUUGAAAAAUUAGCGGAUGACUUGUGGCUGGGGGUGAAAGGCCAAUCAAACCGGGAGAUAGCUGGUUCUCCCCGAAAGCUAUUUAGGUAGCGCCUCGUGAAUUCAUCUCCGGGGGUAGAGCACUGUUUCGGCAAGGGGGUCAUCCCGACUUACCAACCCGAUGCAAACUGCGAAUACCGGAGAAUGUUAUCACGGGAGACACACGGCGGGUGCUAACGUCCGUCGUGAAGAGGGAAACAACCCAGACCGCCAGCUAAGGUCCCAAAGUCAUGGUUAAGUGGGAAACGAUGUGGGAAGGCCCAGACAGCCAGGAUGUUGGCUUAGAAGCAGCCAUCAUUUAAAGAAAGCGUAAUAGCUCACUGGUCGAGUCGGCCUGCGCGGAAGAUGUAACGGGGCUAAACCAUGCACCGAAGCUGCGGCAGCGACACUAUGUGUUGUUGGGUAGGGGAGCGUUCUGUAAGCCUGUGAAGGUGUGCUGUGAGGCAUGCUGGAGGUAUCAGAAGUGCGAAUGCUGACAUAAGUAACGAUAAAGCGGGUGAAAAGCCCGCUCGCCGGAAGACCAAGGGUUCCUGUCCAACGUUAAUCGGGGCAGGGUGAGUCGACCCCUAAGGCGAGGCCGAAAGGCGUAGUCGAUGGGAAACAGGUUAAUAUUCCUGUACUUGGUGUUACUGCGAAGGGGGGACGGAGAAGGCUAUGUUGGCCGGGCGACGGUUGUCCCGGUUUAAGCGUGUAGGCUGGUUUUCCAGGCAAAUCCGGAAAAUCAAGGCUGAGGCGUGAUGACGAGGCACUACGGUGCUGAAGCAACAAAUGCCCUGCUUCCAGGAAAAGCCUCUAAGCAUCAGGUAACAUCAAAUCGUACCCCAAACCGACACAGGUGGUCAGGUAGAGAAUACCAAGGCGCUUGAGAGAACUCGGGUGAAGGAACUAGGCAAAAUGGUGCCGUAACUUCGGGAGAAGGCACGCUGAUAUGUAGGUGAAGUCCCUUGCGGAUGGAGCUGAAAUCAGUCGAAGAUACCAGCUGGCUGCAACUGUUUAUUAAAAACACAGCACUGUGCAAACACGAAAGUGGACGUAUACGGUGUGACGCCUGCCCGGUGCCGGAAGGUUAAUUGAUGGGGUCAGCGCAAGCGAAGCUCUUGAUCGAAGCCCCGGUAAACGGCGGCCGUAACUAUAACGGUCCUAAGGUAGCGAAAUUCCUUGUCGGGUAAGUUCCGACCUGCACGAAUGGCGUAAUGAUGGCCAGGCUGUCUCCACCCGAGACUCAGUGAAAUUGAACUCGCUGUGAAGAUGCAGUGUACCCGCGGCAAGACGGAAAGACCCCGUGAACCUUUACUAUAGCUUGACACUGAACAUUGAGCCUUGAUGUGUAGGAUAGGUGGGAGGCUUGGAAGUGUGGACGCCAGUCUGCAUGGAGCCGACCUUGAAAUACCACCCUUUAAUGUUUGAUGUUCUAACGUUGACCCGUAAUCCGGGUUGCGGACAGUGUCUGGUGGGUAGUUUGACUGGGGCGGUCUCCUCCUAAAGAGUAACGGAGGAGCACGAAGGUUGGCUAAUCCUGGUCGGACAUCAGGAGGUUAGUGCAAUGGCAUAAGCCAGCUUGACUGCGAGCGUGACGGCGCGAGCAGGUGCGAAAGCAGGUCAUAGUGAUCCGGUGGUUCUGAAUGGAAGGGCCAUCGCUCAACGGAUAAAAGGUACUCCGGGGAUAACAGGCUGAUACCGCCCAAGAGUUCAUAUCGACGGCGGUGUUUGGCACCUCGAUGUCGGCUCAUCACAUCCUGGGGCUGAAGUAGGUCCCAAGGGUAUGGCUGUUCGCCAUUUAAAGUGGUACGCGAGCUGGGUUUAGAACGUCGUGAGACAGUUCGGUCCCUAUCUGCCGUGGGCGCUGGAGAACUGAGGGGGGCUGCUCCUAGUACGAGAGGACCGGAGUGGACGCAUCACUGGUGUUCGGGUUGUCAUGCCAAUGGCACUGCCCGGUAGCUAAAUGCGGAAGAGAUAAGUGCUGAAAGCAUCUAAGCACGAAACUUGCCCCGAGAUGAGUUCU